Molecule: long non-coding RNA, 424 nt
Organism: Marmota flaviventris (yellow-bellied marmot)
Lineage: Eukaryota; Metazoa; Chordata; Mammalia; Rodentia; Sciuridae
Source: RefSeq, a predicted model, not a curated record
AAAAUUUGGUUUAAUCUACUGAACGGACUGCAAACUUCUUAGAGUUAGUUUACCCUUGGGUUCAACACUAAUUCUAUUUCCUAUUAUGACAAAGAUGGAUCAAAAGAAAACAGUAACAGAGGAGCUUGACUAGGUAAACCCAAAUUGUGAUAGAAACCUAGCUGACCUCUCUGGGCUUUGAGUGGGUCUUUCAAUUAUCAUGAUUCAGCAUGAAAUACUUGCUGCCUGUACCUAGAACUCCAACUAGGGCUUGAGGCUGUACCCUCCUUACUAUUGCUACUUCCUUUGCUGGUCUCCCCACAUCCCAGAGGAACAAUGCACUGCUUGGGAAGAUGUUGCCGGUCCACUUCCUGUGAACAGUUGUGAGUCACUGAAAACAGAAGCACAGGCUGGCUCGGCUGGCACCUCAGCUCAAAAAAAAAAA